Molecule: ribosomal RNA, 579 nt
Filed under: uncultured bacterium
Lineage: Bacteria
Description: bacterial SSU rRNA
Rfam family: Bacterial small subunit ribosomal RNA
Source: RNAcentral
AACACGUGAGUAACCUGCCCCCGACUCUGGGAUAAGCCCGGGAAACUGGGUCUAAUACCGGAUAUGCACCGUGAACCGCAUGGUUCUUGGUGGAAAGAUCUUUCGGUCGGGGAUGGACUCGCGGCCUAUCAGCUUGUUGGUGAGGUAAUGGCUCACCAAGGCGACGACGGGUAGCCGGCCUGAGAGGGUGACCGGCCACACUGGGACUGAGACACGGCCCAGACUCCUACGGGAGGCAGCAGUGGGGAAUAUUGCACAAUGGGCGAAAGCCUGAUGCAGCGACGCCGCGUGAGGGAUGACGGCCUUCGGGUUGUAAACCUCUUUCAGUAGGGAAGAAGCGAAAGUGACGGUACCUGCAGAAGAAGCGCCGGCUAACUACGUGCCAGCAGCCGCGGUAAUACGUAGGGCGCAAGCGUUAUCCGGAAUUAUUGGGCGUAAAGAGCUCGUAGGCGGUUUGUCGCGUCUGCCGUGAAAGUCCGAGGCUCAACCUCGGAUCUGCGGUGGGUACGGGCAGACUAGAGUGAUGUAGGGGAGACUGGAAUUCCUGGUGUAGCGGUGAAAUGCGCAGAUAUCAGGAGG